ACGCUAGCUACAGGCUUAACACAUGCAAGUCGAGGGGCAGCAUUUUAGUUUGCUUGCAAACUGAAGAUGGCGACCGGCGCACGGGUGAGUAACACGUAUCCAACCUGCCGAUAACUCCGGAAUAGCCUUUCGAAAGAAAGAUUAAUACCGGAUAGUAUACGAAUAUCGCAUGAUAUUUUUAUUAAAGAAUUUCGGUUAUCGAUGGGGAUGCGUUCCAUUAGUUUGUUGGCGGGGUAACGGCCCACCAAGACUACGAUGGAUAGGGGUUCUGAGAGGAAGGUCCCCCACAUUGGAACUGAGACACGGUCCAAACUCCUACGGGAGGCAGCAGUGAGGAAUAUUGGUCAAUGGGCGAGAGCCUGAACCAGCCAAGUAGCGUGAAGGAUGAAGGCUCUAUGGGUCGUAAACUUCUUUUAUAUGGGAAUAAAGUUUUCCACGUGUGGAAUUUUGUAUGUACCAUAUGAAUAAGGAUCGGCUAACUCCGUGCCAGCAGCCGCGGUAAUACGGAGGAUCCGAGCGUUAUCCGGAUUUAUUGGGUUUAAAGGGAGCGUAGGUGGAUUGUUAAGUCAGUUGUGAAAGUUUGCGGCUCAACCGUAAAAUUGCAGUUGAAACUGGGAGUCUUGAGUACAGUAGAGGUGGGCGGAAUUCGUGGUGUAGCGGUGAAAUGCUUAGAUAUCACGAAGAACUCCGAUUGCGAAGGCAGCUCACUAGACUGUCACUGACACUGAUGCUCGAAAGUGUGGGUAUCAAACAGGAUUAGAUACCCUGGUAGUCCACACAGUAAACGAUGAAUACUCGCUGUUUGCGAUAUACAGUAAGCGGCCAAGCGAAAGCAUUAAGUAUUCCACCUGGGGAGUACGCCGGCAACGGUGAAACUCAAAGGAAUUGACGGGGGCCCGCACAAGCGGAGGAACAUGUGGUUUAAUUCGAUGAUACGCGAGGAACCUUACCCGGGCUUAAAUUGCAACAGAAUAUAUUGGAAACAGUAUAGCCGUAAGGCUGUUGUGAAGGUGCUGCAUGGUUGUCGUCAGCUCGUGCCGUGAGGUGUCGGCUUAAGUGCCAUAACGAGCGCAACCCUUAUCUUUAGUUACUAACAGGUCAUGCUGAGGACUCUAGAGAGACUGCCGUCGUAAGAUGUGAGGAAGGUGGGGAUGACGUCAAAUCAGCACGGCCCUUACGUCCGGGGCUACACACGUGUUACAAUGGGGGGUACAGAAGGCGGCUACCUGGUGACAGGAUGCUAAUCCCAAAAACCUCUCUCAGUUCGGAUCGAAGUCUGCAACCCGACUUCGUGAAGCUGGAUUCGCUAGUAAUCGCGCAUCAGCCAUGGCGCGGUGAAUACGUUCCCGGGCCUUGUACACACCGCCCGUCAAGCCAUGAAAGCCGGGGGUACCUGAAGUACGUAACCGCAAGGAGCGUCCUAGGGUAAAACUGGUAAUUGGGGCU
This 1446-nucleotide ribosomal RNA is filed under the name uncultured organism. RNAcentral describes it as "SSU rRNA". It matches the Rfam family "Bacterial small subunit ribosomal RNA". The record is from RNAcentral.